Molecule: ribosomal RNA, 408 nt
Filed under: uncultured bacterium
Lineage: Bacteria
Description: partial 16S ribosomal RNA
Rfam family: Bacterial small subunit ribosomal RNA
Source: RNAcentral
GACGAACGCUGGCGGCGUGCUUAACACAUGCAAGUCGAACGGAGUGGCGAACGGGUGAGUAACACGUGGGUGACCUGCCCUGCACUUCGGGAUAAGCCUGGGAAACUGGGUCUAAUACCGGAUAGUGUGGGAUGGGCCCGGGGCCUAUCAGCUUGGUGGUGGGGUAAUGGCCUACCAAGGCGGCGACGGGUGGCCGGCCUGAGAGGGUGGACGGCCACAGUGGAACUGAGACACGUCCCAGGCUCCUACGGGAGGCAGCAGUGAGGAAUAUUGCACGAUGGGAGGAGGCCUGAUGAGGCGACGCCGCGUUGGGGAGGACUGCCUUCGGGUUGUAACCUCCUUUCACCGUCGACGCGGUAGAUGAAGAUGAAGCACCGGCUAACUACGUGCCAGCAGCCGCGGUAAUUC